Molecule: ribosomal RNA, 499 nt
Filed under: uncultured bacterium
Lineage: Bacteria
Description: bacterial SSU rRNA
Rfam family: Bacterial small subunit ribosomal RNA
Source: RNAcentral
AGUGAACGCUGGCGGCAGGCCUAAUACAUGCAAGUCGAACGGCAGCACAGCAGAGCUUGCUCUGUGGGUGGCGAGUGGCGGACGGGUGAGGAAUACGUGGGAAUCUGCCCAGUCGUGGGGGAUAACGUAGGGAAACUUACGCUAAUACCGCAUGCGCCCUUCGGGGAAAGCCGGGGACCUUCGGGCCUGGCGCGAUUGGAUGAGCCCACGUCGGAUUAGCUAGUUGGCGGGGUAAAGGCCCACCAAGGCGACGAUCCGUAGCUGGUCUGAGAGGAUGAUCAGCCACACUGGAACUGAGACACGGUCCAGACUCCUACGGGAGGCAGCAGUAGGGAAUAUUGGACAAUGGGCGCAAGCCUGAUCCAGCCAUGCCGCGUGAGUGAAGAAGGCCCUCGGGUUGUAAAGCUCUUUUGUCCGGAAAGAAUGUAUCUGAUAGUAACUGAUCAGGUAGUGACGGUAUCCAACCAGAAAGCCACGGCUAACUACGUGCCAGCAGCCG